Long non-coding RNA from Manis javanica (Malayan pangolin), 591 nucleotides. RefSeq lists it as uncharacterized. NCBI's taxonomy places the organism in Eukaryota, Metazoa, Chordata, Mammalia, Pholidota, Manidae. The record is from RefSeq and is a predicted model, not a curated record.
GAGACAGAAGCCAGAGCCUGAGAUGCUCCUCCCAAAUCGGUCAGCGUUAUGCUAGGGGCUCUGGCCUCCCCCUAUGCCACCCGACCCAGGAAGCAGCGAGCAGCACCCGCCUGGGGUCUGGCUGUCUCGCUGAACCUGGGGCCUGGGGUUGGCUGUUGGCAGUCGGUGGCACCAGGGCACCGCAGCUCCUGCUUCUGCCAUUCCCUGGCGGGCAUGAUAUUAACCUGGACAGAUGAGAGAGAGCCGACAGCAGCAAACAGACCUUUAUCCCAUCUCCUUGGUGAAAAUAACACCCAAACACCGAAGGGCACAUGAGCAUGAAGGAACCCCAAGAACUUCCUCCAUCCUUCCAUCAACCCAGCCAGUAAAUCUUCAUUGAACAUACUUCAUGCCAGGUACCACAGUAGGCCCUACAGACACUAAAAUGAAGAGGACCUGGCCCUGGCCUACUGCUUAUUUCUGACUUUGGGACCCAAAGUCUCUGAAUGGAAUCAAAUCCCCCAAUGCCUCCCUGAACAACAAUGUAUAGGAGGCAGUCAGGGACCUGCAGAAAGAUGAGAGCAAAGCAAUGGAAUAAACCUCAGAAUCCUC